GGGCGCUUGGCUUAGUGGUAAAGCGCUCCCUUAGCAUACUUUCUUCGUCCAAGUAGGCUCUCUGGGAGAGGUCCAGGGUUCGAUUCCCUGAGUGUCCA
Molecule: transfer RNA, 98 nt
Rfam family: tRNA
About the family: Transfer RNA (tRNA) molecules are approximately 80 nucleotides in length. Their secondary structure includes four short double-helical elements and three loops (D, anti-codon, and T loops).
Source: Rfam